RNAcentral lists this ribosomal RNA (242 nucleotides) under uncultured bacterium. RNAcentral's name for it is "partial 16S ribosomal RNA". It matches the Rfam family "Bacterial small subunit ribosomal RNA", at positions 91 to 334 of the family's 1533-position model. The record is from RNAcentral.
CGGACCGGCGCACGGGUGCGUAACGCGUAUGCAACCUACCUUUAACAGGGGGAUAACACUGAGAAAUUGGUACUAAUACCCCAUAAUAUCAUAGAAGGCAUCUUUUAUGGUUGAAAAUUCCGAUGGUUAGAGAUGGGCAUGCGCUGUAUUAGCUAGUUGGUGGGGUAACGGCUCACCAAGGCGACGAUACAUAGGGGGACUGAGAGGUUAACCCCCCACACUGGUACUGAGACACGGACCAG